UGGGGAAUUGUUCGCAAUGGGCGCAAGCCUGACGACGCAACGCCGCGUGGAGGAUGAAGGUCUUCGGAUUGUAAACUCCUGUUGACCGGGACGAAUGGCCCUGGAUCUAAUACGUCCGGGGAGUGACGGUACCGGUUGAGGAAGCCACGGCUAACGCUGUACCAGCCGCCGCGGUAAUACCGAGGUGGCAAGCGUUAUUCGGAAUUACUGGGCGUAAAGGGCGCGUAGGCGGCCGCCUAAGUCAGACGUGAAAUCCCCCGGCUCAACCUGGGAACUGCGUCUGAUACUGGGUGGCUUGAAUGCGGGAGAGGGAUGUGGAAUUCCAGGUGUAGCGGUGAAAUGCGUAGAUAUCUGGAGGAACACCGGUGGCGAAGGCGGCAUCCUGGACCGACAUUGACGCUGAGGCGCGAAAGCUAGGGGAGCAAA
Molecule: ribosomal RNA, 426 nt
Filed under: uncultured bacterium
Lineage: Bacteria
Description: bacterial SSU rRNA
Rfam family: Bacterial small subunit ribosomal RNA
Source: RNAcentral